RNAcentral lists this ribosomal RNA (253 nucleotides) under uncultured bacterium. RNAcentral's name for it is "partial 16S ribosomal RNA". It matches the Rfam family "Bacterial small subunit ribosomal RNA", at positions 524 to 776 of the family's 1533-position model. The record is from RNAcentral.
UACGUAGGUGGCAAGCGUUGUCCGGAUUUACUGGGCGUAAAGGGAGCGUAGGCGGACUUUUAAGUGAGAUGUGAAAUACCCGAGCUCAACUUGGGUGCUGCAUUUCAAACUGGAAGUCCAGAGUGCAGGAGAGGAGAAUGGAAUUCCUAGUGUAGCGGUGAAAUGCGUAGAGAUUAGGAAGAACACCAGUGGCGAAGGCGAUUCUCUGGACUGUAACUGACGCUGAGGCUCGAAAGCGUGGGGAGCAAACAGG